CUGAAGAUAGGGGAAGAAGGUCUAUGAUUUUGAGGUAGGAGAUGUGAGU
RNAcentral lists this unclassified non-coding RNA (49 nucleotides) under uncultured bacterium. The record is from RNAcentral.